RNAcentral lists this ribosomal RNA (420 nucleotides) under uncultured bacterium. Its description in RNAcentral is "partial 16S ribosomal RNA". It matches the Rfam family "Bacterial small subunit ribosomal RNA", at positions 360 to 772 of the family's 1533-position model. The record is from RNAcentral.
AAUAUUGGACAAUGGGGGCAACCCUGAUCCAGCCAUGCCGCGAGUGUGAAGAAGGUCUUCGGAUUGUAAAGCACUUUAAGUUGGGAGGAAGGGCUUUAGGUUAAUACCCUGAAGUUUUGACGAUACCACCAUAAUAGGCACCGUCUAACUAUGUGCCAGCAGCCGAGGUAAUACAGAGGGUGCAAGCGUUAAUCGGAAUUGCUGGGCGUAAAGCGCGCGUAGGUGGUUCAGUAAGAUGGGUGUGAAAUCCCCGGGCUUAACCUGGGAACUGCUUUCAUAACUGCUGAGCUAGAGUACGGUAGAGGGUAGUGGAAUUUCCUGUGUAGCGGUGAAAUGCGUAGAUAGAGGAAGGAACACCAGUGGCGAAGGCGACUACCUGGACUGAUACUGACACUGAGGUGCGAAAGCGUGGGGAGCAAA